Molecule: unclassified non-coding RNA, 398 nt
Filed under: soil metagenome
Description: partial contains 5.8S ribosomal RNA, internal transcribed spacer 2, and large subunit ribosomal RNA
Rfam family: 5.8S ribosomal RNA (bases 1-122)
Source: RNAcentral
GAUGAAGAACGCAGCGAAAUGCGAUACUUGGUGUGAAUUGCAGAAUCCCGUGAACCAUCGAGUCUUUGAACGCAAGUUGCGCCUCAAGCCAUUAGGUUGAGGGCACGUCUGCCUGGGCGUCACAUAUCGUUGCCUGAUGCCAGUUUCCUCGUGAUGGGUGACUGUGCAGGGCGAAUGAUGGCUUCCCGUGAGCAUUGUUGCCUCAUGGUUGGUUGAAAAUUGAGUCCUUGGUAGGGAGCGCCGUGAUAGAUGGUGGUUGAGUGACGAACGAGACCCAAUCAUGUGACCCCUACCGAAUUUGGCCUUCAUGACCCACAUGCGUCUUUGGAACGCUCAUGACGAGACCUCAGGUCAGGCGGGGCUACCCGCUGAGUUUAAGCAUAUCAAUAAGCGGAGGA